Molecule: ribosomal RNA, 212 nt
Filed under: uncultured bacterium
Lineage: Bacteria
Description: partial 16S ribosomal RNA
Rfam family: Bacterial small subunit ribosomal RNA
Source: RNAcentral
CAGUUCGGAUUGUAGUCUGCAACUCGACUACAUGAAGCUGGAAUCGCUAGUAAUCGCGAAUCAGAAUGUCGCGGUGAAUACGUUCCCGGGUCUUGUACACACCGCCCGUCACACCAUGGGAGUCGGAAAUGCCCGAAGUCAGUGACCCAACCGUAAGGAGGGAGCUGCCGAAGGUGGAGCCGGUAACUGGGGUGAAGUCGUAACAAGGUAUC